UUAAGUUCAGCGGGUAUCCCUACCUGAUCCGAGGUCAAGCGCGAAAAUAUAGGCUUCAUGGACGCCCGCAAUCCACAGCGAAGAGCGCAAAAUGUGCUGCGCUCCAACACCAGAUUGCCGGCUGCCAAUUGAUUUGAGGCGAGUUCACGCGUUGCAGCGGAACAAACACCCAUCACAAGCAAAGCUUGAGGGUACAAAUG
This 200-nucleotide unclassified non-coding RNA is filed under the name Pyrenochaeta sp. RNAcentral describes it as "partial internal transcribed spacer 2". The record is from RNAcentral. Lineage: Eukaryota; Fungi; Ascomycota; Dothideomycetes; Pleosporales; Cucurbitariaceae.